Molecule: transfer RNA, 67 nt
Filed under: Laomedia astacina
Lineage: Eukaryota; Metazoa; Arthropoda; Malacostraca; Decapoda; Laomediidae
Description: tRNA-Trp
Source: RNAcentral
UAAGAUUUUAAGUUAAUACAAACUAGUAGCCUUCAAAGCUGCCAAUAAAAAUUUUUUUAAAUCUUAA